This 611-nucleotide ribosomal RNA is filed under the name uncultured bacterium. RNAcentral's name for it is "bacterial SSU rRNA". The stretch from base 1 to 519 matches the Rfam family "Bacterial small subunit ribosomal RNA", at positions 338 to 873 of the family's 1533-position model. The record is from RNAcentral.
CCUACGGGAGGCAGCAGUGGGGAAUCUUGCGCAAUGGGCGAAAGCCUGACGCAGCCAUGCCGCGUGAAUGAUGAAGGUCUUAGGAUUGUAAAAUUCUUUCACCGGGGACGAUAAUGACGGUACCCGGAGAAGAAGCCCCGGCUAACUUCGUGCCAGCAGCCGCGGUAAUACGAAGGGGGCUAGCGUUGCUCGGAAUUACUGGGCGUAAAGGGAGCGUAGGCGGAUAGUUUAGUCAGAGGUGAAAGCCCAGGGCUCAACCUUGGAAUUGCCUUUGAUACUGGCUAUCUUGAGUACGGAAGAGGUAUGUGGAACUCCGAGUGUAGAGGUGAAAUUCGUAGAUAUUCGGAAGAACACCAGUGGCGAAGGCGGCAUACUGGUCCGUUACUGACGCUGAGGCUCGAAAGCGUGGGGAGCAAACAGGAUUAGAUACCCUGGUAGUCCACGCUGUAAACGAUGGAGUGCUAGUUGUCGGCGAUGCAUGCAUGUCGGUGACGCAGCUACGCAUAAGUACACUCCGCCGUCGGGAGGUACGGUCGCGAAGAAUUAAACUAACGAAGAAGUUAGUACGGCGUGAGACGUACGCCGAACGGACGACGACGAGGGAGGUUAGG